UUCUUUGUAGUCUAGUUGGUUAGGAUACUCGGCUCUCACUCGAGAGACCCGGGUUCAAGGUCCCGGCAAUGAAA
Molecule: non-coding RNA, 74 nt
Organism: Cucurbita moschata (crookneck pumpkin)
Lineage: Eukaryota; Viridiplantae; Streptophyta; Magnoliopsida; Cucurbitales; Cucurbitaceae
Source: the annotation of a RefSeq genome assembly